This 1009-nucleotide ribosomal RNA is filed under the name Keissleriella rara. Its description in RNAcentral is "SSU rRNA". It matches the Rfam family "Eukaryotic small subunit ribosomal RNA", at positions 87 to 1105 of the family's 1831-position model. The record is from RNAcentral. Lineage: Eukaryota; Fungi; Ascomycota; Dothideomycetes; Pleosporales; Lentitheciaceae.
CUGCCAAUGGCUCAUUAAAUCUGUUAUCGUUUAUUUGAUAGUACCUUACUACUUGGAUAACCGUGGUAAUUCUAGAGCUAAUACAUGCUGAAACCCCCGACUUCGGAAGGGGUGUAUUUAUUAGAUAAAAAACCAAUGCCCUUCGGGGCUCCUUGGUGAUUCAUGAUAACUUCUCAGAUCGCAUGGCCUUGCGCCGGCGACGGUUCAUUCAAAUUUCUGCCCUAUCAACUUUCGAUGGUAAGGUAUUGGCUUACCAUGGUUUCAACGGGUAACGGGGAAUUAGGGUUCGAUUCCGGAGAGGGAGCCUGAGAAACGGCUACCACAUCCAAGGAAGGCAGCAGGCGCGCAAAUUACCCAAUCGCAACAUGCGGAGGUAGUGACAAUAAAUACUGAUACAGGGCUCUUUUGGGUCUUGUAAUUGGAAUGAGUACAAUUUAAACCUCUUAACGAGGAACAAUUGGAGGGCAAGUCUGGUGCCAGCAGCCGCGGUAAUUCCAGCUCCAAUAGCGUAUAUUAAAGUUGUUGCAGUUAAAAAGCUCGUAGUUGAACCUUUGGCCUGGCUGGCAGGUCCGCCUCACCGCGUGCACUUGUCCGGCCGGGCCUUUUCUUCUGGAGAACCGCAUGCCCUUCACUGGGUGUGUUGGGGACCAGGACUUUUACUUUGAAAAAAUUAGAGUGUUCAAAGCAGGCCUUUGCUCGAAUACGUUAGCAUGGAAUAAUAGAAUAGGACGUGCGGUCCUAUUUUGUUGGUUUCUAGGACCGCCGUAAUGAUUAAUAGGGCCAGUCGGGGGCAUUAGUAUUCAGUAGUCAGAGGUGAAAUUCUUGGAUUUACUGAAGACUAACUCCUGCGAAAGCAUUUGCCAAGGAUGUUUUCUUUAAUCAGUGAACGAAAGUUAGGGGAUCGAAGACGAUCAGAUACCGUCGUAGUAUUAACCAUAAUCUAUCCCGUCUAGGGAUCGGACGGUGUUAUUAUUAUGACUCGCACGGCACCUUUCGAGAAAUCAAAGUA